GUUGUUCGGAAUUACUGGGCGUAAAGGGCUCGUAGGCGGCCAACUAAGUCGGACGUGAAAUCCCCAGGCUCAACCUGGGAACUGCGUCCGAUACUGGAUGGCUUGAAUCCGGGAGAGGGAUGCAGAAUUCCAGGUGUAGCGGUGAAAUGCGUAGAUAUCUGGAGGAACACCGGUGGCGAAGGCGACAUCCUGGACCGGCAUUGACGCUGAGGCGCGAAAGCCAGGGGAGCAAACGGG
This 237-nucleotide ribosomal RNA is filed under the name uncultured bacterium. RNAcentral's name for it is "partial 16S ribosomal RNA". It matches the Rfam family "Bacterial small subunit ribosomal RNA", at positions 540 to 776 of the family's 1533-position model. The record is from RNAcentral.